UUAAGUUCAGCGGGUAGUCCUACCUGAUUUGAGGUCAGAGUCAAAAAUUGCCCGAGGGCGAUUGUAAGCAGUCAUCACAACCUUCACCGACGAAACUUAUUACGCCGACUACGAUGCUAUCCCGCUAAGUCUUUUAAGGUGAGCCGGCAGAAGCGGCAACACCCAAGUCCAAUCUCCUCGGGUUUCCGAGGGAUUGAGUC
Molecule: unclassified non-coding RNA, 200 nt
Filed under: Saitozyma sp.
Lineage: Eukaryota; Fungi; Basidiomycota; Tremellomycetes; Tremellales; Trimorphomycetaceae
Description: partial internal transcribed spacer 2
Source: RNAcentral